RNAcentral lists this ribosomal RNA (582 nucleotides) under Triticum aestivum (bread wheat). Its description in RNAcentral is "partial small subunit ribosomal RNA". The record is from RNAcentral. Lineage: Eukaryota; Viridiplantae; Streptophyta; Magnoliopsida; Poales; Poaceae.
AUGUCCUCGACGUACCUGGUGGCACUUUGCCAGGCUGUCGACCUUCGCCACCUGGAGCAAAACAUCAAAAUCUUUGUCAACACAUGUGUGGUGCAGGCUGCUAAGAAAGUGGUCGACGCCACCAGUAUUCAGAACAAGCUCGCAGCCGCCGUCGACCGCGUGGACGUUUUCAAGCACGCUGACAACCCAUGCAGCGCCAACUACCCCGUGAUGCACAAGCUGCGCAGUGUGCUCCUUGAGCACGCUCUUGGUAGCAAGAGCACUGACGACGAGGUGUUGUCCACAAUCAGUAAGCCGGAGGAGGAGCUAGUGAUAGCGUUGCCACGGGAGGUCGAAGCGGCACGUGUGGCCAUGGAGAUGGGCAGUGCACCCAUAUCAAACAUGAUCAAGGGGAGAAUGUCAUUCCCACUCUAUCAGUUUGCUGGUGAGGAACUCGGAUGCGUGUUUCUAACCGGGGAGAAGCUUCUCGCACUUGACGAAGAGUGUGACAAGGUGUUCGUGGGGGUCAGCCAAGGCAAGCUCAUCGACCCCAUGCUUAAGUGCCUGAAAGAGUGGAACGGUGAGCCUGUGCCCAUCAACUGA